Molecule: long non-coding RNA, 277 nt
Filed under: Pan troglodytes (chimpanzee)
Lineage: Eukaryota; Metazoa; Chordata; Mammalia; Primates; Hominidae
Description: long non-coding RNA NONPTRT017771
Rfam family: Bag-1 internal ribosome entry site (IRES) (bases 1-94)
Source: RNAcentral
GGCGACCCAGAGUGAGGAGGCGACCCAGGGCGAAGAGAUGAAUCGGAGCCAGGAGGUGACCCGGGACGAGGAGUCGACCCGGAGCGAGGAGGUGACCAGGGAGGAAAUGGCGGCAGCUGGGCUCACCGUGACUGUCACCCACAGCAAUGAGAAGCACGACCUUCAUGUUACCUCCCAGCAGGGCAGCAGUGAACCAGUUGUCCAAGACCUGGCCCAGGUUGUUGAAGAGGUCAUAGGGGUUCCACAGUCUUUUCAGAAACUCAUAUUUAAGGGUAAG